AUGGCUCAGGAUGAACGCUAGCGGCAGGCUUAACACAUGCAAGUCGAGGGGCAUCGGGAGUAGCAAUACUGCCGGCGACCGGCGCAAGGGUGCGUAACGCGUGAGCAACAUGCCCGUAUCAGGGGGGAUAAUCCAUGGAAACGUGGUCUAAUACCCCAUAGUAAUUAUGUAAGGCAUCUUAUAUAAUUUUAAAGCUUUGGUGGAUACGGAUUGGCUCGCGUGAACAUUAGCUGGAUGGUAAGGUAACGGCUUACCAUGGCUACGAUGUCUAGGGGUUCUGAGAGGAAGGUCCCCCACACUGGAACUGAGACACGGUCCAGACUCCUACGGGAGGCAGCAGUGAGGAAUAUUGGACAAUGGAUGGAAAUCUGAUCCAGCCAUGCCGCGUGCAAGGAAGACGGCCCUAUGGGUUGUAAACUGCUUUUGUAUGGGAGCAAUAAGGGCUACGUGUAGUCCGAUGAGAGUACCAUACGAAUAAGCACCGGCUAACUCCGUGCCAGCCGCAGC
RNAcentral lists this ribosomal RNA (507 nucleotides) under uncultured bacterium. RNAcentral describes it as "bacterial SSU rRNA". It matches the Rfam family "Bacterial small subunit ribosomal RNA", at positions 19 to 518 of the family's 1533-position model. The record is from RNAcentral.